Molecule: long non-coding RNA, 2419 nt
Organism: Astatotilapia calliptera (eastern happy)
Lineage: Eukaryota; Metazoa; Chordata; Actinopteri; Cichliformes; Cichlidae
Source: Ensembl
UCGGAAUGUUGAACUAAGAGGGAGACAGAGGCUGCUAGUUUUUUAACACAGUAAAUGGUCACAAAUAACAUUCAGCCCUUUUGAAAAUAAGCGCUAUUGGGCUACUUCUAAAACACGUUGCACAUGAUGUCACCUUUUCCCCCAAAGCAGCCAGUAUCGCUCUUUCAAACUAAUUGUCUUUUAAUCACACUCAUUUUGUGAUUCUGAUGUCACAGCAUGCAAUGAUGCAAACAUUUUAUUUAUUUAAAAACGGAUCAAACGGGAAUUUCUUCCGUAAGGGGUUUCAUGGUUUUAGAGUAGUUUUUAACACAACAGAUGGUCGCAAAUAACAUUCAGCUCUUUAGAAAAUAAAUGCUGCAGUGAUACUUCUAAAACCAGUCGCACAGACCUGCUCUGUCUUUUCAACAGCCGGUUAUUGUUUGAAAUUGUUCAGAAUUGCAAAAGCCCACCGCGGGUAUCAUUUAACUGUUGUGAUUCCAUAGGAAGACAAAAGAUAGGUGGAUCACUUAGUUGUUGAGAGUACCAUGCGAACAAGGGCCCAACUAUUGUUUAAAGUGGCCAGUAUCAGCUCUUUUUGUAAUUCCUCGAGAAGGUAAAAGCCCCGCAGAUGUACCAGUCGAGCAGGGUCUCGCCUAUUUUCUGAAGUAGCCAGCAACAUGCCCAGCAGGUGUAUUGCCCCCAGACUUAUCGGCCCCCCAUCUAUUGUUUUUGGAAGCACCCGGUCCUAUAUGAAGCGUUCCUCAGAGCGUGAGACCCUCGCCAUUUCGCGUCAGGACCAGCGCCGGUGCAGACCAUUUUCUACCCACACAGAGCGUUUCUGACAGGCUGGCGUUGCUUAUGCAUAAGAGAAAAGCAACAAUACAACGCGGUUCUCUGCUCCAAGACAUCGCGGGUCCUUUCACACAGUAAGCAUGUGUGUUAUAGCCGGCGCUUCAUAAAUGUCUGUUUUUAAAACGUGACUCAUUUGUUGUCCAAAAACAUUUCCUCUAAAUUUGCAAAGUUACUGAUUUAAAAAUAUAUAUUUUCAAAUUUUUAGCUGGAUGUCAAACAUAUGAUAGACUCUUGAGCAUGUUUAUAUAGCAAAAUUCACAGUGGUAUAACCAUAAAAGAUGCCCAACUGUGCACCAAUGCACUCUAUUGCAAGCUUUUAAACUGUAUGCUGAUAAGUGCAUGAAGUAUACCUUUAGAAAAAGAUCCUGGUGUAGAAAGUAAUAUUAAAUAAAUUCUAACAAACGAUUAUCAAGCUUAAACGUGCUGCUGUUGUUCAGCCGCUGGUUUCCUCUUUCUGGUGCAACGUGGGCCAAAAACAAAGAAGAGAGACGGACUCACGACAGAAAAGCAGAUCAGCUGACCAUUAAUCAGUUUCAUGAUUGAAGUAGCAGCAAGAAGAGGGAGAGAGAGAGAGGCAGUCACUCCAUAUGUCGGUUGUUAAGCUUAACGUGGGAAUGCUUUACAAACAUUAAGAGAUGAACUUACACACUUGCUUUACUUCUCUCUGGGAUCACUUCCUCGGAGAUGAAAUGCCGGAUUGGUAGCGAGGCUACAAAUACACACAGCCGCUCUAUCACGUGAUGCACACUGCUCCGACAUGCUACGGUUAUGAGCUGAGUUACGCCGUGUCGCAAGUUUUGUGAGGUGCUUUUUUGAUAUUUAAUGGAUCGGAUUACAUUUUUUAUUUUUCUCCGAUAUCCGAUCCAGUAAUUUACGUCAGUAUCGGACCGGAUACCGAUACGUAAUAUCGGAUCGGUCCAUCUCUAAUUUAAACCCCGUUAUAUUGUGUAGUAUAAUUAGUAUACUUUAUUUAUCAUCUUUAUAUAUGUAUAUUUGAAGUGAUCAGUUUUAAAAAAUACAGCCACAGCAAAGGUAUACAAACAAUCAGUUCCAAGAAAGAUUUGCAUAGGUAAAAAGCCACCGGCAUACCUUAAGGUAAAAUCAUAAGUACAACCAUAAAAAAGUCACUUUACCAGCUGGAGUUUGAUCUUCAUGAAGUGACGUGAAAACCAGGGUCAGUAGAGUGUCUGCAUCACUGGAGAGGAUACACAAAUAACUGACUAACUGUCUCCUCAGAUCUUCCCUAGCAAGAUCCAGAGAUACUUGAACUCUUCAUUUGGCACUGAAAGUGUGUAAAUAAUUUGCAGCUUAGAGCCAUGGCCUCAGACUUGAAGGUUCACAUAUCCUCACUUCAGUCAUCUUCACACUUGACUGCAAACUGGUCCUCUACAAAUUGGAAAUAACCACAUGACCAUAUCAUGCACUAAAUGAGACAUAAUCCACAAACCUUUUUGUAUUUUGUCGACUCUAUUUUCAUAGAUUUCAUGAAAAGGAAAGCCCUGGUGGAGUGUAAUGUGGACUGCUUAGGAAAACCAACCACUCCAUUAGGGACUUGUCAUUUUACAGGCAUAGCUCUGUGCUCCAGCCU